Molecule: transfer RNA, 73 nt
Filed under: Candidatus Heimdallarchaeota archaeon
Lineage: Archaea; Promethearchaeati; Candidatus Heimdallarchaeota
Description: tRNA-Asn
Rfam family: tRNA
About the family: Transfer RNA (tRNA) molecules are approximately 80 nucleotides in length. Their secondary structure includes four short double-helical elements and three loops (D, anti-codon, and T loops). Further hydrogen bonds mediate the characteristic L-shaped molecular structure. tRNAs have two regions of fundamental functional importance: the anti-codon, which is responsible for specific mRNA codon recognition, and the 3' end, to which the tRNAs corresponding amino acid is attached (by aminoacyl-tRNA synthetases). tRNAs cope with the degeneracy of the genetic code in two manners: having more than one tRNA (with a specific anti-codon) for a particular amino acid; and 'wobble' base-pairing, i.e. permitting non-standard base-pairing at the 3rd anti-codon position.
Source: RNAcentral
GCCGCCAUAGCUUAGCUGGUAGAGCAAUCGGCUGUUAACCGGUAGGUCGCAGGUUCAAAUCCUGCUGGCGGCG